Molecule: small RNA, 100 nt
Filed under: Mytilus galloprovincialis (Mediterranean mussel)
Lineage: Eukaryota; Metazoa; Mollusca; Bivalvia; Mytilida; Mytilidae
Source: RNAcentral
GUGGUAUAUUGGGUCCAGCUUUCAUAAUGAUGGUAAACAUAUUCAUUCCGACACUAUGAAUAUGUUUACCAUCAUUAUGAAAGCUGGACCCAAUAUACCA